This 383-nucleotide ribosomal RNA is filed under the name uncultured archaeon. RNAcentral describes it as "bacterial SSU rRNA". It matches the Rfam family "Archaeal small subunit ribosomal RNA", at positions 345 to 727 of the family's 1478-position model. The record is from RNAcentral.
AACCUUUACAAUGCACGAAAGUGUGAUAAGGGAAUCCUGAGUGCUCAUGCUUAUGGUAUGGGCUUUUGCCAUGAGUAAAUAUCAUGGCGAAUAAGUGGUGGGCAAGACAGGUGCCAGCCGCCGCGGUAACACCCGCGCCACGAGUGGGAAUCAUUCUUAUUGGGUCUAAAGCGUCCGUAGCCGGUUUAGUAAGUGCUCUGUGAAAUCGGCCUGCUUAACAGGUCGACGUGCAGGGUAGACUGCUAGACUUGGAACCGGGAGAGGUCAGAGGUAUUCCGGGGGGAGCGGUAAAAUGUUAUAAUCCCCGGAGGACCACCGAUGGCGAAGGCAUCUGACCAGAACGGGUUCGACGGUGAGGGACCAAAGCCAGGGGAGCGAUCCGG